Molecule: transfer RNA, 73 nt
Filed under: Penaeus vannamei (Pacific white shrimp)
Lineage: Eukaryota; Metazoa; Arthropoda; Malacostraca; Decapoda; Penaeidae
Description: Litopenaeus vannamei (Pacific white shrimp) tRNA
Rfam family: tRNA
About the family: Transfer RNA (tRNA) molecules are approximately 80 nucleotides in length. Their secondary structure includes four short double-helical elements and three loops (D, anti-codon, and T loops).
Source: Rfam by way of RNAcentral
GGGGAUGUAGCUCAAGUGGUAGAGCGCUCGCUCCGCAAGUGGGAGGUACGGGGAUCGAUACCCCGCGUCUCCA